Molecule: long non-coding RNA, 4041 nt
Organism: Syngnathus typhle (broad-nosed pipefish)
Lineage: Eukaryota; Metazoa; Chordata; Actinopteri; Syngnathiformes; Syngnathidae
Exons: 4
Source: RefSeq, a predicted model, not a curated record
CUGAACUGAAUGUUGCGAAAAUGAAGAUGUGGGGAAUAUUUUUAUUCGUCAUCACAGGAAACGGGCCAGUUUAAAAAGGGAUUCCGGGUUUAUAGAGUCGGCUUGUUUAUUCAACAAUUUAGUUCUUGCAUAAUAACCCAGGCAAGUGACUAUGGAAUAGUAGCAGUUUUUCUAACCAUACUGAGUGCAUGGGUGCAUGACUCAGAGUGCUGACACAGCAUGUGAGCAUGGAAAGACAAGACCCGCAGUCAAUUCUGGGAUCAGAGGUCACCGCUUCCUCGAUAAACCUCCGGAGACGCAGCGUGAGGAUGGCUACCUUUGAUCAAUCGGAGUUUCGAACCGGAAGCAGGAGAGUGAAUUUGGCCGUGACUCUUUCAAACACACGAAAAUAUCUUUUUGUAGUGCAUGAUUGACACACCAAAGUAUAAUUACAGAAGCAAUUACAGGCCAUUACAACGUCCGUAUAGUGUCUGAGAUGUCUGGCCUGUCAAAUCAAAGGGAAAUGUACCUGUACAUGUGUACAUUCUUCACAAAUGAUAUGAAGCUUAGAAGUUUUCUUAGCCGAAAAAUCUCUUCACCCCCUCCUCCAUCUUUUCCGCCUGACAUGUUUAGCAUAAGUCGUGGCACUGCGACUUAUCCGCUCGACACGACACAGCAAGUUUCUGGAUAACUACAACAAGGCUGAUUUGUUCCCCCAGUAGUAGAUGAGGGAAUAUUAGCACAAAGCUGCUGCCAAAGGCUUUCCGUGUGAAUGAGAGGCAGCUGCACACAAGACGUGCGUGCGGCACAGCUAAAAGACGGCAUGGGAGCGAGGAAACUCAGGUAACCGAGUAGCAGAGACAUGCAUAAAAGAAUAUUCACACACAAGGCAGUGGGUUGCAAAGGGUUGAGGCACCCCAGCUGCCGAGGCCCCCGGUGAGGUGAGGAGGUCAGGAACAUUACCCUCCAUUUGUAAAGGAGAGAGUAGGCAUGUCCAACAAGUCCCACCUGCCACUAUAUUUAUGAAAUUACUCAUUGGAGGUUUUGGCUUCCAUCAGGCUUUACACUGGAAAGUCUUCGGAGCAGUAAGAAACACAAGUCAACCUCUUCCAAGCAUUCAGGCUCUAGCAACACCUAAUAGAUUUUCCCGACGGACAACGGUUAUUCUAAUUGAAUCCACACACAGUAGGCGGUAUCGCGGCUAAAUUCCCACUAAUGCAAGAGCCGCCGGUACGAGGUGGGCCCUUUUCACAUACUGAUCCUCUUGGACUCUGCUUAAUUUAACAGAAUCACUAAAAUGUUUCUCACACAUGUACAAACACACACAGGUUCUCACAGCGUAUAUUUAGACAUGUAAUCCUCUGCGAAGCUCACAGCGGACGGCGCGGCUCAAAGACCCCUGGCUGCGUGUACAAUAAGGGGGACUUAUUGAAACAAGGCUGGCACUGAGAGCGCAGCAGUGGGGGGAUUUAUUUGGAGAACAGCAGCGCACUGGCUAAACUUUGAUCAGCCCUCGUGCACUGCCGCCCUUUUCUCUUUCUCCCAGACACGGGCUGGCCGGUGAACGCCGGGGGACUAUGGAGGGGCUUGUCUCUUGGCAACAGAGACAAGCUUGACUAACUUUUAUUUUGAUUGCAUUUAAUGGGUGCAAGUGACUUCAUUUUUUUCAAUUGACAGCUCUAUACUAUAUUUAACAUUUACUGCAAAGAUUGCAUGGCGUCUUCAAUCGUGGCGCCCCACAGAGUGGAAAAACUCCACCGGCAGCUUUGCUCCUCUUAACCUACAAAAAAAAAACAUUGUGCAAACUUGACCUUGUGGGUUCUUAGUGCUGUAAUGACACCCGGUCUCUUUGUUGUGGGCCAAACGUGACGGUUAGCUUAGGCGGAAUGAUACUCAUCAGACUGCGGUGGAGAGAGACACUUCAUUUGGAAUUUUCGAGCAAGGGAACAGAGAUCAGAAGGUCAGAGCACUCCGCAAACUCCUAAAGCAGCAUCAGAGAUGAAAGUUAGCCUGAAUAAUCCCGUAAAGUGCUCAGACGGAGCAGAAAUUCCCCUGAGGGAGGUCUCCACAAUGUGAGCACCAACCCCCUCAAUAGACACAAAGACACCUCACAUCCAUUAAAAGAAUUAGCAAUUAGAAGACGAGCAAGAAACUAAGCGACCGGUGUUCGUUUGGACUGCCGAUGAGCCAAAAGUCUUUCUCUGACAUUUUCGACAGGAUGGCUCGUCACUAAUCGACUGCUGAGUGACUAGUUGUGGCAUGCGGUGUUCCGUUUCCCCUCCUUAUUCCCAGCCCUUCCCUCCGUGCGCCCCAGUCAACAUAGAUAAACACUCCCAGACAUAUAAAGGACCAACGUAAGAGACUAAUGGAGCUAAAAGCCCCAAUGAAAAAGAACACCGAGCUCAUAAACGUCAUGCCGUAACCAGUCGAACAAACAAAGCGCCGAAAACGGUUGCCUUGUGUUUACUUACUUCUACUCAAUGACAAGGGAUGCAUGCCGCGAGAUGGAGUCCCUUUAAAACUCCUCAUAAAGUUCGCCUAAAAGGUUCAAUUGGAGGAUGAGCCCAUCGGUGUCGUGACAUGUCAGAGUGACUUCAUUGUUUUGAAGACCAAAGUGAGUCACUGCCUUUAAGUUAGAAGUCCUUUGUUGGGGUUUGUGAUUUAUUUUCAGGUUUUAAUUUGUCUGAAAUUCCAAAAUAAGGAAUAGAUUGAAAAAGUACAAAUAAGAGUAAGAAGAAUAUCGAGAAUUUACCGUAUUUUUUGGGCUAUAGGCACUUAAAAUCAUUUAAUUUCUUUAAAAAAAAAGUGUGCUUUAUAAUCAUGGACGUCCAAUUGAAGUUAAAUAAAGUUUGACUUAUCUGCUGUACUGAUUUGUUUCCCUUUAUUGGCAGUAAUCUGCCUUAUAACUCAGUGCGCCUUAUAUACAGAAAAUUCCCAAAACAGAGACUGCACCUUAUGUUCUCAUAAACCAUACAGUCCGAAAAAUAUGGUAAAUGAAAUAUACAGACUCAGGUAACUUGAAUCUUUCUUAUUUUAAAAAAUUCUAAACAAAUCUUUCAUUUAAUAUAAAGAGCCUCGGUAUAUUAGCAAGUAUGUUCAAGCACAACGAAUAUAGUUGACGAUAGUUAAAGUCUUACGAGUACAAGUACAUCAUGGGGCUUUUACGUUCCCAUUAUAAAAAAGAAAGAAAAUAGUACAAACCCCACCCUGGCCUUUGACCCCGGGAGCAUGUCUGUAGCCCAAACAACUCAACUAUGUUGCAGCCAGUGUGGUUUGAAUUACAAGCUCAAAGGAUAGUUCAAGUUUAUGUGGACGGGUGGGUUAAGAGGUACAGACACUGGGGGUUGGAGGGAGAGGGGGCGCUUGAAUCCCUGUCAGAUCUGGGCGACUGCUUUAUUUGAUGUGUGCCAGGCAGGCUGGUUCUGUCACUCAGCCUGAGUUGGGCGUCCUUUGAGAGGGGCUCAGCUUCAAAAUCCUGAAAAGACCACCGUGGAGAAAAUGGAGGGGGAUGAGGAUGGCAUCACAGCACCUCGAGGUCAACAGUAACCAUGAGCAGACUUUUUCUGAUGUGGGAAGAAGAUAACGCCUCACAUGGUGAAAAGGAGGCCCGGAGCCAACACAACAUCAACAUUAUUGGACAGAUUUGUCUCUGUCUCUCUAACCCUUCAACAACAAUGACUGUAUUCAUUUGUGUGCACGUUCAAAGUAAUAUCAGUCACAUAUGAGCUGGACAAACGCUGAGAGACUUUUCUUGUAAAGCGUGAAAUCAAACGGCGGGAUUUAUCAGCGAGACAUGGUCGCAUUCCUCAACGACUGUGUUUGUUGUUUUAAAGUGCAGGCAGUGAAGGAGGCUGAUGCUGCGUAUUAAAUAUGAUUUGAGUGACUAUUUAGAUUAAGACGGUGGGUUUGAUCGUCUCUGGACACUCCAUUAGGUACAGUAGUCUGUCAUGAUGAAGAUGAUCCCGUUUUCAGAGAGUUUAAUCACAUGUAUAGGAAUUCAAACGGCCACUGCCCUUUUAACUCCACUGAUGUUUUACUGCUAAUAAAAGGUGUUAACAACAA